CAAGAAUAUUAGUCAAUGCUCGUAAGAGUGAACUAGCUAACUGAAAUCACAAACAUCAUUUAUUUGAUACAUGUGAUAAGGUAAAGGAAAAAAAUGAUAUUACUUUACUAUUAGUGUUGUCCAAAGCUGGUGCCAGAAGACUCGGUAAGGCCAGAAACGCAAACGUUAGUCGUCUUAAUCAGGCGUAAAGGGUUUGUAGGCUGCUUUUAAAUGAAUAAAAGCUAGAAUCAAAUUGAAGAUAAACCAAAUAAUACUUAGAGUAGGGUUGAUAUCUAUAGAUACUAAGGGGAAUACUAACGGUGAAAACUUUUUAUCUAAUAAUGAUUGACGCUGAGAAACGAAGGUGAGAAUAGGAAAUAGGAUUAGAUACCCAGAUACCUCUCACUGUCAACGAUGAAUGGUAGUUGUUAGUUCAUAUUUAUAAAUACUAGUAACGAUGUUAACACGUUAACCAUUCCGCCUUGCGAGUACGGUUGCAAAACUAAAACCAAAAAAAUUAGUCGGUCUCGAAGCAAACGAAGUGAAGCAUGUUAUUUAAUUCGAUA
RNAcentral lists this ribosomal RNA (545 nucleotides) under Entoloma corneri. RNAcentral describes it as "SSU rRNA". It matches the Rfam family "Bacterial small subunit ribosomal RNA", at positions 356 to 956 of the family's 1533-position model. The record is from RNAcentral. Lineage: Eukaryota; Fungi; Basidiomycota; Agaricomycetes; Agaricales; Entolomataceae.